GAUGAACGCUGGCGGCGUGCCUAAUACAUGCAAGUCGAGCGAACGGACGAGAAGCUUGCUUCUCUGAUGUUAGCGGCGGACGGGUGAGUAACACGUGGAUAACCUACCUAUAAGACUGGGAUAACUUCGGGAAACCGUAGCUAAUACCGGAUAAUAUUUUGAACCGCAUGGUUCAAUAGUGAAAGACGGUCUUGCUGUCACUUAUAGAUGGAUCCGCGCUGCAUUAGCUAGUUGGUAAGGUAACGGCUUACCAAGGCAACGAUGCGUAGCCGACCUGAGAGGGUGAUCGGCCACACUGGAACUGAGACACGGUCCAGACUCCCACGGGAGGCCGCAGUAGGGAAUCUUCCGGAAUGGGCGAAAGCCUGACGGAGCAACGCCGCGUGAGUGAUGAAGGUCCUCGGAUCGUAAAACUCUGUUAUUAGGGAAGAACAAAUGUGUAAGUAACUGUGCACAUCUUGACGGUACCUAAUCAGAAAGCCACGGCUAACUACGUG
RNAcentral lists this ribosomal RNA (497 nucleotides) under uncultured bacterium. RNAcentral's name for it is "partial 16S ribosomal RNA". It matches the Rfam family "Bacterial small subunit ribosomal RNA", at positions 28 to 507 of the family's 1533-position model. The record is from RNAcentral.